UAACGGCGAGUGAAGCGGUAACAGCUCAAAUUUGAAAUCUGGCCUCACGGUCCGAGUUGUAAUUUGUAGAGGAUGCUUCGAGCAUGGUCUGGCCUAAGUUCCUUGGAACAGGACGUCAUAGAGGGUGAGAAUCCCGUAUGCGGCCAGGUGCCUACGCUCAUGUGAAGCUCCUUCGACGAGUCGAGUUGUUUGGGAAUGCAGCUCAAAAUGGGUGGUAAAUUUCAUCUAAAGCUAAAUAUUGGCCAGAGACCGAUAGCGCACAAGUAGAGUGAUCGAAAGAUGAAAAGCACUUUGGAAAGAGAGUUAAACAGUACGUGAAAUUGUUGAAAGGGAAGCGCUUGCAACCAGACUUGCGCGCGGCCGAUCAUCCGGUGUUCUCACCGGUGCACUCGGCCGUGCUCAGGCCAGCAUCGGUUUUGGCGGCUGGAUAAAGGCCCUAGGAAUGUAGCUCCUCUCGGGGAGUGUUAUAGCCUAGGGUGCAAUGCAGCCUGCUGGGACCGAGGACCGCGCUUCGGCUAGGAUGCUGGCGUAAUGGUUGUAAGCGGCCCGUCUUGAAACACGGACCAAGGAGUCUAACAUCUAUGCGAGUGUUUGGGUGUCAAACCCAUACGCGUAAUGAAAGUGAACGGAGGUGAGAACCCUUAAGGGUGCAUCAUCGACCGGUCCUGAAGUUUACGGAAGGAUCUGAGUAAGAGCAUAGCUGUUGGGACCCGAAAGAUGGUGAACUAUGCCUGAAUAGGGUGAAGCCAGAGGAAACUCUGGUGGAGGCUCGCAGCGGUUCUGACGUGCAAAUCGAUCGUCAAAUUUGGGUAUAGGGG
RNAcentral lists this ribosomal RNA (818 nucleotides) under Pseudogymnoascus sp. Its description in RNAcentral is "partial large subunit ribosomal RNA". It matches the Rfam family "Eukaryotic large subunit ribosomal RNA", at positions 84 to 923 of the family's 3401-position model. The record is from RNAcentral. Lineage: Eukaryota; Fungi; Ascomycota; Leotiomycetes; Thelebolales; Thelebolaceae.